GAUGAACGCUGGCGGCGUGCCUAAUACAUGCAAGUCGAGCGAACAGACGAGGAGCUUGCUCCUCUGACGUUAGCGGCGGACGGGUGAGUAACACGUGGAUAACCUACCUAUAAGACUGGGAUAACUUCGGGAAACCGGAGCUAAUACCGGAUAAUAUAUUGAACCGCAUGGUUCAAUAGUGAAAGACGGUUUUGCUGUCACUUAUAGAUGGAUCCGCGCCGCAUUAGCUAGUUGGUAAGGUAACGGCUUACCAAGGCAACGAUGCGUAGCCGACCUGAGAGGGUGAUCUGCCACACUGGAACUGAGACCCGGCCCAGACUCCUACGGGAGGCAGCAGUAGGGAAUCUUCCGCAAUGGGCGAAAGCCUGACUGAGCAACGCCGCGUGAGUGAUGAAGGUCUUCGGCUCGUACAACUCUGUUAUUAGGGAAGAACAAAUGUGUAAGUAACUCUGCACGUCUUGACGGUACCUAAUCAGAAAGCCACGGCUAACUACGUGC
Molecule: ribosomal RNA, 498 nt
Filed under: uncultured bacterium
Lineage: Bacteria
Description: partial 16S ribosomal RNA
Rfam family: Bacterial small subunit ribosomal RNA
Source: RNAcentral